GACGAACGCUGGCGGCGUGCUUAACACAUGCAAGUCGAACGGAAAGGCCCUGCUUUUGUGGGGUGCUCGAGUGGCGAACGGGUGAGUAACACGUGAGUAACCUGCCCUUGACUUUGGGAUAACUUCAGGGAACUGGGGCUAAUACCGGAUAGGAGCUCCUGCUGCAUGGUGGGGGUUGGAAAGUUUCGGCGGUUGGGGAUGGACUCGCGGCUUAUCAGCUUGUUGGUGGGGUAGUGGCUUACCAGGCUUUGACGGGUAGCCGGCCUGAGAGGGUGACCGGCCACAUUGGGACUGAGAUACGGCCCAGACUCCUACGGGAGGCAGCAGUGGGGAAUAUUGCACAAUGGGCGGAAGCCUGAUGCAGCAACGCCGCGUGCGGGAUGACGGCCUUCGGGUUGUAAACCGCUUUCGCCUGUGACGAAGCGUGAGUGACGGUAAUGGGUAAAGAAGCACCGGCUAACUACGUG
Molecule: ribosomal RNA, 467 nt
Filed under: uncultured bacterium
Lineage: Bacteria
Description: partial 16S ribosomal RNA
Rfam family: Bacterial small subunit ribosomal RNA
Source: RNAcentral